This 484-nucleotide ribosomal RNA is filed under the name uncultured bacterium. RNAcentral's name for it is "partial 16S ribosomal RNA". It matches the Rfam family "Bacterial small subunit ribosomal RNA", at positions 30 to 507 of the family's 1533-position model. The record is from RNAcentral.
AUUGAACGCUGGCGGCAGGCCUAACACAUGCAAGUCGAGCGGAUGAAGGGAGCUUGCUCCUGGAUUCAGCGGCGGACGGGUGAGUAAUGCCUAGGAAUCUGCCUGGUAGUGGGGGAUAGCGUCCGGAAACGGGCGCUAAUACCGCAUACGUCCUGAGGGAGCAAGUGGGGGAUCUUCGGACCUCACGCUAUCAGAUGAGCCUAGGUCGGAUUAGCUAGUUGGUGGGGUAAAGGCCUACCAAGGCGACGAUCCGUAACUGGUCUGAGAGGAUGAUCAGUCACACUGGAACUGAGACACGGUCCAGACGCCUACGGGAGGCAGCAGUGGGGAAUAUUGGACAAUGGGCGAAAGCCUGAUCCAGCCAUGCCGCGUGUGUGAAGAAGGUCUUCGGAUUGUAAAGCACUUUAAGUUGGGAGGAAGGGCAGUAAGUUAAUACCUUGCUGUUUUGACGUUACCAACAGAAUAAGCACCGGCUAACUUCGUG